This 492-nucleotide ribosomal RNA is filed under the name uncultured bacterium. Its description in RNAcentral is "partial 16S ribosomal RNA". It matches the Rfam family "Bacterial small subunit ribosomal RNA", at positions 29 to 507 of the family's 1533-position model. The record is from RNAcentral.
AGUGAACGCUGGCGGUAGGCCUAACACAUGCAAGUCGAACGGCAGCACAGUAAGAGCUUGCUCUUACGGGUGGCGAGUGGCGGACGGGUGAGGAAUACAUCGGAAUCUACUUUUUCGUGGGGGAUAACGUAGGGAAACUUACGCUAAUACCGCAUACGACCUACGGGUGAAAGCAGGGGAUCUUCGGACCUUGCGCGAUUGAAUGAGCCGAUGUCGGAUUAGCUAGUUGGCGGGGUAAAGGCCCACCAAGGCGACGAUCCGUAGCUGGUCUGAGAGGAUGGUCAGCCACACUGGAACUGAGACACGGUCCAGACUCCGACGGGGGGCCGCAGUGGGGAAUAUUGGACAAUGGGCGCAAGCCUGAUCCAGCCAUACCGCGUGGGUGAAGAAGGCCUUCGGGUUGUAAAGCCCUUUUGUUGGGAAAGAAAAGCAGCAGGUUAAUACCCCGCUGUUCUGACGGUACCCAAAGAAUAAGCACCGGCUAACUUCGUG